This 698-nucleotide ribosomal RNA is filed under the name uncultured soil bacterium. Its description in RNAcentral is "bacterial SSU rRNA". It matches the Rfam family "Bacterial small subunit ribosomal RNA", at positions 56 to 745 of the family's 1533-position model. The record is from RNAcentral.
UGCAAGUCGAGGGGCAGCAUGACUGUAGCAAUACAGUUGAUGGCGACCGGCAAACGGGUGCGGAACACGUACACAACCUUCCUUUAAGUGGGGAAUAGCCCAGAGAAAUUUGGAUUAAUACCCCGUAAUAUUAUGAUGUGGCAUCACAUUAUAAUUAUAGCUCCGGCGCUUAAUGAUGGGUGUGCGGCUGAUUAGAUAGUUGGCGGGGUAACGGCCCACCAAGUCUACGAUCAGUAACUGGUGUGAGAGCACGACCAGUCACACGGGCACUGAGACACGGGCCCGACUCCUACGGGAGGCAGCAGUAAGGAAUAUUGGUCAAUGGACGCAAGUCUGAACCAGCCAUGCCGCGUGGAGGAUGAAGGCCCACUGGGUUGUAAACUUCUUUUAUAUGGGACGAAAAAGGGUCUUUCCAGAUCAACUGACGGUACCAUGUGAAUAAGCACCGGCUAACUCCGUGCCAGCAGCCGCGGUAAUACGGAGGGUGCAAGCGUUAUCCGGAUUCACUGGGUUUAAAGGGUGCGUAGGUAGGUUGGUAAGUCAGUGGUGAAAUCUCCGAGCUUAACUUGGAAACUGCCAUUGAUACUAUCAGUCUUGAAUACUGUGGAGGUCAGCGGAAUAUGUCAUGUAGCGGUGAAAUGCUUAGAUAUGACAUAGAACACCAAUUGCGAAGGCAGCUGGCUACACAAAUAUUGACA